RNAcentral lists this ribosomal RNA (990 nucleotides) under Bacillus siamensis. RNAcentral describes it as "bacterial SSU rRNA". It matches the Rfam family "Bacterial small subunit ribosomal RNA", at positions 56 to 1030 of the family's 1533-position model. Lineage: Bacteria; Bacillati; Bacillota; Bacilli; Caryophanales; Bacillaceae. The record is from RNAcentral.
UGCAGUCGAGCGGACAGAUGGGAGCUUGCUCCCUGAUGUUAGCGGCGGACGGGUGAGUAACACGUGGGUAACCUGCCUGUAAGACUGGGAUAACUCCGGGAAACCGGGGCUAAUACCGGAUGGUUGUUUGAACCGCAUGGUUCAGACAUAAAAGGUGGCUUCGGCUACCACUUACAGAUGGACCCGCGGCGCAUUAGCUAGUUGGUGAGGUAACGGCUCACCAAGGCGACGAUGCGUAGCCGACCUGAGAGGGUGAUCGGCCACACUGGGACUGAGACACGGCCCAGACUCCUACGGGAGGCAGCAGUAGGGAAUCUUCCGCAAUGGACGAAAGUCUGACGGAGCAACGCCGCGUGAGUGAUGAAGGUUUUCGGAUCGUAAAGCUCUGUUGUUAGGGAAGAACAAGUGCCGUUCAAAUAGGGCGGCACCUUGACGGUACCUAACCAGAAAGCCACGGCUAACUACGUGCCAGCAGCCGCGGUAAUACGUAGGUGGCAAGCGUUGUCCGGAAUUAUUGGGCGUAAAGGGCUCGCAGGCGGUUUCUUAAGUCUGAUGUGAAAGCCCCCGGCUCAACCGGGGAGGGUCAUUGGAAACUGGGGAACUUGAGUGCAGAAGAGGAGAGUGGAAUUCCACGUGUAGCGGUGAAAUGCGUAGAGAUGUGGAGGAACACCAGUGGCGAAGGCGACUCUCUGGUCUGUAACUGACGCUGAGGAGCGAAAGCGUGGGGAGCGAACAGGAUUAGAUACCCUGGUAGUCCACGCCGUAAACGAUGAGUGCUAAGUGUUAGGGGGUUUCCGCCCCUUAGUGCUGCAGCUAACGCAUUAAGCACUCCGCCUGGGGAGUACGGUCGCAAGACUGAAACUCAAAGGGAUUGACGGGGGCCCGCACAAGCGGUGGAGCAUGUGGUUUAAUUCGAAGCAACGCGAAGAACCUUACCAGGUCUUGACAUCCUCUGACAUCCUAGAGAUAGGACGUCCCCUUCGGGGCAGA